RNAcentral lists this ribosomal RNA (356 nucleotides) under uncultured Glomeraceae. RNAcentral describes it as "SSU rRNA". It matches the Rfam family "Eukaryotic small subunit ribosomal RNA", at positions 569 to 929 of the family's 1831-position model. The record is from RNAcentral. Lineage: Eukaryota; Fungi; Glomeromycota; Glomeromycetes; Glomerales; Glomeraceae.
AGCAGUCGCGGUAAUUCCAGCUCCAAUAGCGUAUAUUAAAGUUGUUGCAGUUAAAAAGCUCGUAGUUGAAUUUCGGGAUCAGUGCGCUGGUCGUGCCUUCGGUAUGUACUGGUGUUACUGGUUCCUACCUUCUGACGAACCGUCAUGUCAUUAAUUUGGUGUGGCGGGGAAUCAGGACUGUUACUUUGAAAAAAUUAGAGUGUCUAAAGCAGGCUCGCGCUUGAAUACAUUAGCAUGGAAUAAUGAAAUAGGACGUUCGAUCCUAUUUUGUUGGUUUCUAGGAUUGACGUAGUGAUUAAUAGGGAUAGUUGGGGGCAUUAGUAUUCAAUUGUCAGAGGUGAAAUUCUUGGAUUUAU